Moellerella wisconsensis ATCC 35017 is the source of this 148-nucleotide regulatory RNA element. It matches the Rfam family "CpoB/ybgF ICR thermometer". Rfam says of the family: Imprinting control region from upstream of cpoB/ybgF (tol/pal system protein). The record is from Rfam. Lineage: Bacteria; Pseudomonadati; Pseudomonadota; Gammaproteobacteria; Enterobacterales; Morganellaceae.
CCAAAUCUCUAUCGUUUCAUACGGUAAAGAAAAACCAGCAGUGUUAGGUCACACUGAAGCUGACUACGCGAAAAACCGUCGCGCAGUACUGGCUUACUAAUAAGAGAUUUAGUAUCUAAUGAACAGUAACUUCAGACGUGUAGUAGUU